This 350-nucleotide long non-coding RNA is filed under the name Solanum tuberosum (potato). Its description in RNAcentral is "long non-coding RNA (STUB_LNC005324)". Lineage: Eukaryota; Viridiplantae; Streptophyta; Magnoliopsida; Solanales; Solanaceae. The record is from RNAcentral.
UCCUCCCCCGGCCUCACCAACACUGCCACAAUCGCCUCCUCCAAGUAACGUGACAUUGCCUCCUCCAAUGGCUUCCCCACCCACAGAAUCCGCUCCUCCAACUGUUAGUCCUCCACCUAUCCCACCUGCUAGUUCACCACCACCUAUAUCUUCUCCUCCGCCUUCCAGUUCACCACCACCUCAAUCUUCUCCUCCCCCUGCUAGUUCUCCUCCAACUACACCUAGCCCACCAGUUAGUUCAUCACCACCUCCAGAAGUUGAGCCUCCACCUGUCUCACCUCCCCCACAACCAACUGUUCCUACAAGUUCACCUCCACCGCCUCCAAAAGAUGAUCCUCCUCCUACCUCAC